Molecule: long non-coding RNA, 446 nt
Filed under: Mustela putorius furo (domestic ferret)
Lineage: Eukaryota; Metazoa; Chordata; Mammalia; Carnivora; Mustelidae
Description: lncRNA (ENSMPUG00000031436.1)
Source: RNAcentral
ACUUUGACCACCUCGCAGGAUGCAGUGCUGAAGGAGAACAGGAGGUGCCAUCCCAAAAUAUGCCAUUUCGGUGUAAGAAUUAUUUUAAACUGAAGACCUCUGAAAUUCAACAGAUGCAGAAAGGCGGCUUCGUGGAGCUUUCCUUAUCUGACUUAAAAGCAGAAAUUCCUGGGAAAUCAGUCUACCAUAAAUUCCCUCGUUGGGAACUUCCUGACCUUUCCCCUAGUGGGCAGAAGUAUCUGCUUUGCAGAAGAAUUCGUGUUGUUGUGACUGGAAGGCUGAGAGAAAGGAAAGACAGAGAUCACAAGUAAGGAGAGACGCAGGCAGAGAGAGAGGAAGAGAAGCAGGCUUCCUGCUGAGCAGAGAGCUCCAUGUGUGGCUCAAUCCCAGGACCCUGAAAUCAUGACCUGAGCCAAAGGCAGAGGCUUUAACCCACUGAGCCACCC